AACAGGAUUAGAUACCCUGGUAGUCCAUGCCGUAAACGUUGGGCGCUAGAUGUAGGGACCUUCCCACGGUUUCUGUGUCGUAGCUAACGCAUUAAGCGCCCCGCCUGGGGAGUACGGCCGCAAGGCUAAAACUCAAAGGAAUUGACGGGGGCCCGCACAAGCGGCGGAGCAUGCGGAUUAAUUCGAUGCAACGCGAAGAACCUUACCAAGGCUUGACAUACACCGGAAACGGCCAGAGAUGGUCGCCCCCUUGUGGUCGGUGUACAGGAGGUGCAUGGUUGUCGUCAGCUCGUGUCGUGAGAUGUUGGGUUAAGUCCCGCAACGAGCGCAACCCUCGUUCUAUGUUGCCAGCGGGUUAUGCCGGGGACUCAUAGGAGACUGCCGGGGUCAACUCGGAGGAAGGUGGGGAUGACGUCAAAUCAUCAUGCCCCUUAUGUCUUGGGCUUCACGCAUGCUACAAUGGCCGGUACAAAGGGCUGCGAUACCGUAAGGUGGAGCGAAUCCCAAAAAGCCGGUCUCAGUUCGGAUUGAGGUCUGCAACUCGACCUCAUGAAGUCGGAGUCGCUAGUAAUCGCAGAUCAGCAACGCUGCGGUGAAUACGUUCCCGGGCCUUGUACACACCGCCCGUCAAGUCAUGAAAGUCGGUAACACCCGAAGCCGGUGGCCUAACCCUUGUGGAAGGAGCCGUCGAAGGUGGGAUCGGUGAUUAGGACUAAGUCGUAACAAGGU
This 729-nucleotide ribosomal RNA is filed under the name uncultured Curtobacterium sp. RNAcentral's name for it is "bacterial SSU rRNA". It matches the Rfam family "Bacterial small subunit ribosomal RNA", at positions 771 to 1497 of the family's 1533-position model. Lineage: Bacteria; Bacillati; Actinomycetota; Actinomycetes; Micrococcales; Microbacteriaceae. The record is from RNAcentral.